This 266-nucleotide unclassified non-coding RNA is filed under the name plant metagenome. RNAcentral's name for it is "partial contains small subunit ribosomal RNA, internal transcribed spacer 1, and 5.8S ribosomal RNA". The stretch from base 1 to 54 matches the Rfam family "Eukaryotic small subunit ribosomal RNA", at positions 1778 to 1831 of the family's 1831-position model. The record is from RNAcentral.
GGAAGUAAAGGUCGUAACAAGGUCUCCGUUGGUGAACCAGCGGAGGGAUCAUUACCGAGUUUACAACUCUCAAACCCAAUGUGAACCAUACCAAACUGUUGCCUCGGCGGGGUCACGCCCCGGGUGCGUCGCAGCCCCGGAACCAGGCGCCCGCCGGAGGGACCAACCAAACUCUUUCUGUAGUCCCCUCGCGGACGUUAUUUUUACAGCUCUGAGUAAAAAUUCAAAAUGAAUCAAAACUUUCAACAACGGAUCUCUUGGUUCUG